This 766-nucleotide ribosomal RNA is filed under the name uncultured bacterium. RNAcentral's name for it is "bacterial SSU rRNA". It matches the Rfam family "Bacterial small subunit ribosomal RNA", at positions 8 to 767 of the family's 1533-position model. The record is from RNAcentral.
AGAGUUUGAUCCUGGCUCAGAUUGAACGCUGGCGGCAGGCUUAACACAUGCAAGUCGAGCGGAAACGAAGGUAGCUUGCUACCAGGCGUCGAGCGGCGGACGGGUGAGUAAUGCUUAGGAAUCUACCGAGUAGUGGGGGAUAGCCAUUGGAAACGAUGAUUAAUACCGCAUAUAUCCUACGGGGGAAAGCAGGGGACCUUCGGGCCUUGCGCUAUUCGAUGAGCCUGAGUGAGAUUAGCUAGUUGGUGGGGUAAAGGCCUACCAAGGCGACGAUCUCUAGCUGGUCUGAGAGGAUGAUCAGCCACACUGGGACUGAGACACGGCCCAGACUCCUACGGGAGGCAGCAGUGGGGAAUAUUGCACAAUGGACGAAAGUCUGAUGCAGCCAUGCCGCGUGUGUGAAGAAGGCCUUCGGGUUGUAAAGCACUUUCAGCGAGGAGGAAAGGUCAGUAAGUAAUAUUUGCUGGCUGUGACGUUACUCGCAGAAGAAGCACCGGCUAAUUUAGUGCCAGCAGCCGCGGUAAUACUAAAGGUGCAAGCGUUAAUCGGAAUUACUGGGCGUAAAGCGCGCGUAGGUGGUUUGUUAAGUUGGAUGUGAAAGCCCAGGGCUCAACCUUGGAACUGCAUUCAAAACUGACUCACUAGAGUACGAGAGAGGUUAGUGGAAUUUCCUGUGUAGCGGUGAAAUGCGUAGAGAUGGGAAGGAACACCAGUGGCGAAGCGACUGACUGGCUCGAUACUGUCACUGAGUGCGAAAGCGUGGGAG